AGCGAACGCUGGCGGCAUGCUUAACACAUGCAAGUCGCACGGAUCUUUCGGGAUCAGUGGCGGACGGGUGAGUAACGCGUAGGGAUCUAUCCAUGGGUGGGGGACAACUCCGGGAAACUGGAGCUAAUACCGCAUGAUACCUGAGGGUCAAAGGCGCAAGUCGCCUGUGGAGGAACCUGCGUUCGAUUAGCUAGUUGGUGGGGUAAAGGCCUACCAAGGCGAUGAUCGAUAGCUGGUCUGAGAGGAUGAUCAGCCACACUGGGACUGAGACACGGCCCAGACUCCUACGCGAGGCAGGAGUGGGGAAUAUUGGAAUAUGGGCGCAAGGCUGAUGCAGCAAUGCCGCGUGUGUGAAGAAGGUCUUCGGAUUGUAAAGCACUUUCGACGGGGACGAUGAUGACGGUACCCGAAGAAGAAGCCCCGGCUAACUUCGUG
Molecule: ribosomal RNA, 435 nt
Filed under: uncultured bacterium
Lineage: Bacteria
Description: partial 16S ribosomal RNA
Rfam family: Bacterial small subunit ribosomal RNA
Source: RNAcentral